UCUAACCCUUAAAUUAUGUUGUAUCAAAGAUCGCAACAAGAUCUGACGAUUAAAACCAAAUAAUUUAACUGAUCUGUCGUGUCAGCCAUGAGGUAAUGUUUUGAAUUUUUUUUUUUCCAAACUACAUUAUUUUUACUAUUCAACGAAAAUGAGAUGAUAAACAACCUAAAUAAUAGUUAUUUGUGUAUACAGUUACUAAAAAAUAGUAAUUAAAACCCUAUGUUUCCAACACGAAAUUAUAUGGAGGGCCCCAAGUGAAAUCCUCUAUAUUAUCCAUAUAAAAAUCGAAGGGAGAUAAUUUGAAUUGUCUCCACUUGAUUAAAGUUAUACAUGCACAUGUGAAACUUCAGUAUGGGUAGUAAAAAGAAAUCUUCGAGAAUAUUUGGAAAAUCUGUAGGCAUUUAUAAGCGGUUACGCAGUGAUAGAUAUACAGGAAGACCAAAAUACAAGAUUGUUAAGCGUAUCACAUCUUCAAAGUCUAGAAAUAUUUCUUUAUGUGUCAAGAGAAUUAAGAAAACUGUUUCAAAGAAGACAAUUGAUAAGAAGCCUGUUUUUAUAUAACAUACACUCUUUGAUGACACUGGUUGUACUGUUAGGCCACCUAUUAAACUUAAAAUUAGAAAGGUGUUGGACACAAGUGAAAAUGGAUAUCGUAUUGUUAAUCUAGAAUGCUUGCAAUCACAUGUAACUUCCAUCACAAUGCAUGCAUGUCAGUGUUUGAAGGCCAUACAAUUAGCUUCAAUUGGUGAAUCUCCAUUGAGUUUGCAGACUGAAAUUAGAUCUCUAGGUUUAGCAAGUGUUUUAUCUGUGCAGUGUAAGGGUUGCAAUAAGAAAUUUAAUUUUGAAACAAGUCCUAAACUACCAGAAAGCAGGAGAUAUGAUGUCAAUGUUAGAGCUGUUUGGGGGAGUAUUGCCACUGGAAAUGGUCCUUCCCAUUUGAAUGAAAUUUUGAGUACACUUAAUUCACCUGGUAUUUCACAACCAACAUUUUCAGCCAUUGAACAUGAUAUAGGAAAGUGGUGGAGUAGUAUUCUUGACCAGAGUAUGUUAGAAGCUGGUCAAGAAGAGCGCCAAAUAGCUAUUGAGAAAGGUGAUUUUCACAAUGAGAUACCAUCAAUUACUGUGAUUAUGGAUGGAGGAUGGUCCAAGAGAACUCACAAACACAGUUAUAAUGCGCUUGGGGGUGUGGCUAUCAUAAUAGGGAAAGAGACAAAAAAAACUAUUGCAUAUUGGUGUGCGUAACAGGUAUUGUUAUAUCUGCAAUUCAGCUGAAAGUAGACAAGAAUCUGUUAAGCCACAUUCUUGCUUUAAAAACUGGAAUCAUGAUAGCCAGUCGAUGGAAUCAGACAUUAUUAUUGAGGGAUUUAAACAGGCUGAAAGCAAACAUGGUUUGCGUUAUAUGAGGGUUAUUGGAGAUGGAGAUUCCUCUGUUUUUUCAAACAUCCGUGAGCAAGUUCCAGUAUGGGGUAGAUAUGUCACCAAAGAAGAAUGUGCAAAUCACAUUUGCAAGUGUUAUAGGUCUAAUCUGGAGAAACUGGUUGCAGAUAACCCUAUUUACAAGGGAAGACAUAAUUUGACAAAGAAUGUUAGAAUAAGGUUAGUUAGUGCUGUAAGAUGCGCAAUCAGAAUGAGAGCAAAGGAGGUGAAAGAAAAGGGUGUAGAAAAAACUGAAGCAGUAAGAAAUCUUCGUCAUGAUAUAAUAAAUUCAGUCCACCAUGUGUUUGGAAAACACAGUAAUUGUUCAGAUUUUUGCAAAGCAAAGUUAUCAUCCAGCACAACCUUAAAUGACAGUAUACUGACUUCUCUGCAAGAUCCAGAUGAAAGUUCAGAUAUAUUUGAAGACCAAGUAAAACUGUGGACAGAGGGAACAUCCAUUGAGGCACAAGAGGAGACACGUAAAGGUACUCACAUAAAUUACAGUGAUGUUGAACAGUACAUUAUCCAAGAUGUCUGCACUUUGUUGUCUCGAAAUUAGUGAAAAGGCUGAUCGAUUGUUGGGUAACAACACAACCAAUCUGGCAGAAUCUUGGAUGCACAUACGGUGUAAAUUUGACGGCGGAAAGUUAUAUAACUUAUGCAAUAGAGGUUCAUGGCAUGGGAGGUGCUUUGGUGGAGGAUUGCGAAUGAACUUUGGACCAGAGUGGUCUCCUAAAGUAUGGCAAAAAACAACAGCUACCCAACCAGGAUUUUUUUUCACACGACAUUUUGAGCGUAGUAAUAUAAGGCUAGCCAACAGCACUAGAUAUAAGGCUAAAUACGAUACACACCAAAAGCGUUGGAAGAGAAAGAUGAGAUCAUUAACGAUUAGUUGUUCCAAAAAGGCUAGAAGAUCUUAUGGACCAGAGGCUAUUGAUGUAACAGAGGAUAUUCCUGUUACAGAUCUAGCUGUACUGCAAAGUGACUUUCUUAAAAAACACAUUAAUAUUUCUGAAAUUAAAAUCAAAGAAAUAGCAACUGCAACAAUUAAACAAUCUCAAUCUGAUAACUGGCAUUCUGAAAGGAAAAAACGCAUAACAUGUUCAAAUUUUGGAAAAAUCAUUCGAAGAAGACCAUCUAUAUUGGUAAAGAAUUUAGUUAAAAACUUGUUGUACUCAAAGUUUCGAGGAACAUUUCACACAAAAAAUGGACUUCUGCACGAACGUAGUACUAUCGAGGAAUAUAGACUGAAGAAAGCAGAAGAAAAUGUUAUUUUAACGGUAGAAUCAAGUGGUCUAAUUAUCAAUAAUGAACAUAAGUUUCUUGCUGGUAGCCCUGAUGGCAUUGUUAUUGUUGGUAAUGGCGAAAAGGGAUUAUUGGAAGUGAAAAAUCUUGUCCACUCAAAACCUAUAAAUUUAUUUCAAGCUGCGGCAAAUAAAAACUUUUGUUUAGAGAUACGCCAAGAUAAAUUAUUUCUGAAACAAAAUCAUGACUAUUAUUAUCAGUGUCAAGGAUUGUUAAAUGUUGGAAAUUUUCACUGGCUAGACUUUCAUGACUUUGUUGUACGCACAAUAAAUCCCUAUCAGUUAUUUAUUCAGAGAAUCCAACGUGACCUCAAUUUAUGGAACAAUGUUAUGUUACCAAAAUUAACCGCCUUCUACCAUUCUGCUAUUCUACCAGAACUUGCUUGUCCUAGAGAAGGGAAGAGCCCUGGCAUUAGAGAACCGGGAGUUUGGUUCGUAUCAUCUGUAUCUAAAGCUAAACAGCAGUCGUCUAGAAAAACCAGCAAAAGAGCCAGCAAAAAGACAUGUGUAAAUAACUAAAUUGAUUCUCAUUACAAAAGUUUACAGUUAAAAUUAAAGGUAAUACCCUACUUUAUACCUUGUGCCUCAAAUGAGUUGUUAAGAGUAAAUGGUUGACAUAUUUAUUAGCAAUUGAGGCUAAUUGUUGCUGCUAAGUGAUGUUUUGGUGUAUUAUUGGUGUUUACAGUAUUAGUUAUAGAAUAUAAAGAAUUUGUCUACAAAGCAGAGAAUUUUUCAUGCUCAGAAUAGAAAAGAGACAACAACAUUGUGGUUAUUCCAUGUAAAGAUUUACUAUAGAUCAGGAUAUUUUACUAGAAAAAUGAACAGUAAACAUGUCUGAAAGUCUAAGAGACAGCACAUCAAUCUAGAUGAAGAAAAACAGAAAAUUACUGAUAUAAGUUGUGUAAUUCUAAGAUUUGUUGCUUUUAUAAUUACAGCAAAUUUUUGAAUAUUGUGAACACUAAAAACUGUGUAUAUAUUGAGUUUUCUAUUACCUUGUAAACAACCUUAGCUAUAUGAAGUAUUAGUCAUCAACGUGUGCUGUAUAAUGGUUGGUUGAUAUUCAAAGUCACAACUUUUCAAUUCUUAUUUCACUUCAUGGUCCUUUGUACUCAAACAUGUGUAUGAUUGAUUUCAUUUGAUACUGCUCCAUUUGAAUUCAUAAGUAGUACAUGUAUGCCAAGUUUUUUCUAUACUUUGACCAUCAAAAGAAAUGCAACAUUACUUUGACAUUAUACUUAGGGCUAUUCCAGAAAAAAAUGUAUGGGGGAGUUGGAAGACAGUUUUUGUCAGCACCCACCACCCAGACAAUUGUAAUUGAGAAUUAUAGUGCAUUAUAGUGAGAAAAGUUGCUCUGAUACCCAUCACCUAUGUAUUAUAUACAAUGUGCCUUCCACCCCCCCCCCCCCCCCUACUUUUUUUUCUGGAAUAGCCUGUAUGCAUUCUUUUUCAUUGUCCAAAUUUUAAAACCUGCUGACUUUAUAAACUCAAAUAUAAACUUUCAGAAUGGUUCUAGAGAAAGAGAAAGAAAGUAAAGUUAUUGAUUUGAUACUUUUGGGUUUUUUUUAAAUUCAGAGCAUGAUGAAAAUAUAAUACUGAAUUACUGUGAGUUAGAUUGCAUUUUUUCUGCUUUUACUUUAUAUAUUACUUGGAUUGAAUUUUUCUUCUCAUUACAAUCUUGUAUCUGUAUGUCAUUCAUCAUGUAUAUUUUUUCCUUUCUGUUUUGAUAACCAGGAUUCCAAAAAAUAUAUAGGUAUAUUUCUAUAUAGCCUUGCAAACAAAAUUUAAAUCGGUCUGAAAACUGAAAAGUAAUUUGAAAAAAUUAAUUUAUGUUUUGCUCUUACUCAUUGAAGGAAAAGAUAGUAAUGUUUUUUUUUUAGUUCUUCUAUUUAUUCAGGAGAGGAAACUGAAAAAGUAGAGACCAAAACUCAAUGUUCAAUUUUCUAUUUAAGAAAAAAAGAGAGAACCACAGAAUAGAUGUAUUUAAUUAAUCUAUCAUAAUAUUUACCUUAUGGCUAGUCAAUCCCCCCUUUUUUUACUUGUGAUAUAUAUGAUAUAUUUUUACAUCCUGUUAUUGAAUUUAGUGAAAUUUAUUAUAAUAAAUAUUUUUAGCAAUGAAUUUGUUUUAAUUUUAAUGCCAUGCUAUCUGUAUGUUGAAAAUGGUAUGUUUAUGUCCAAUAUCUUUACAGGUGUGGUCCUCCAUACUUUUUAUGAAAGUAGUUCCCACAUGGAAAAAAUGGCUUCUCAUUUUGAAUUUGCCUAUCAUGCUUUAUAGAUUUAUACCUAUUUAAUUAUACAUUAUUUUUAAUAUUAAGCCUUAGCUUGCCCUAGAUAAUGAUUUAAGGAUACUAAUGCUUCAUUUUUAGGGGAAAUAAAGAACUCAGUUAAUGUCCAGAUUUUUUUAAAACAAUGAUGGAUAAAAUUGCAAAGUUCUUACUACACAAUCAUUUUUUGGCUUAAGUUUUAUGAUUAAGUGAUUCACCACUAAAUUCCGCAAAUUUUGAUGUAUAUAAUAUGGGUAUAUAGUUCUUAAAUCAGUCGGAAUUUUGGUUUGAAAAAUAAGUUAAUUUUGACUUUAGCGGAA
This is an RNA transcript of Mytilus trossulus (common blue mussel), 5301 nucleotides long. RefSeq lists it as uncharacterized. Lineage: Eukaryota; Metazoa; Mollusca; Bivalvia; Mytilida; Mytilidae. The transcript has 6 exons. The record is from RefSeq and is a predicted model, not a curated record.